Molecule: ribosomal RNA, 254 nt
Filed under: uncultured bacterium
Lineage: Bacteria
Description: partial 16S ribosomal RNA
Rfam family: Bacterial small subunit ribosomal RNA
Source: RNAcentral
UACGGGGGGAGCAAGCGUUGUUCGGAUUUACUGGGCGUAAAGGGCGCGUAGGCGGUCAGCACAAGUCAGUUGUGAAAUCUCCGGGCUUAACUCGGAAAGGUCAACUGAUACUGUGCGACUAGAGUGCGGAAGGGGCAACUGGAAUUCUCGGUGUAGCGGUGAAAUGCGUAGAGAUGCGGAGGAACACCGAUGGCGAAGGCAGCCCCCUGGGCUAACACUGACGCUCAGGCACGAAAGCGUGGGGAGCAAACAGG